Molecule: long non-coding RNA, 1467 nt
Filed under: Heterocephalus glaber (naked mole-rat)
Lineage: Eukaryota; Metazoa; Chordata; Mammalia; Rodentia; Bathyergidae
Description: lncRNA (ENSHGLG00000049547.1)
Source: RNAcentral
CGGAUAUGGGGAGGAGGUCCAACAGGGGGCGCCGCGUUGGAACGCCCAAAGGGGUUGGGGGUUCGGGUGCGGUGGGCGAGCAAGCGAGUGUAUGGCGGCCAGGCCCAGAAGGCCACGAGGACCGCUGGCGCCGAGGCGUCAGUCUUUCAGACUCCAAAAGUAGCAAAGGCCGAGCGAGGAGGUUAGGGGCUCCCAAAGGCCAGCCCUUGGGGCUGUUGAUGGCCAGGCUAACCCGACAGGAGGCGCCGCUGCCACCGAGUGACUGGCUACCAGAUUCUGAAACCCUAAGUGCCUUGGAUGAGUGGGGCUUAAGAGACCACAGAACUGGGUCAAGGAUUAAGCUCAGUGGCACCACACCUGCCUUGCAAGCUCAAGGUCCUGGGUUUGAUCCCUGGUACCAAAAAAAAAAAAAAAAAAUUAGAGGCCACAGAACUACAGCCAGACAUUUGAGGAAGCAGCAAAUACAAAAGACAGCUGAGUGGCCUGGCCAAAGACAGCUGAGAGAUUUGGUGUGGUGAGAGCCGAGGAUGAGCACCACGUGGAUGGACUGGAGGAUCAUCUUGGUCAGCCAGAUCAUCAGGAAGAUGGACAACCUCCGCCUCCACCCAGACAACGCUGGCCCCUGCACCUCUUCUCGUUCCAGUGGGCAUUUCCUUCAAGCGAUUGCCAUAGCUUGCUUUCAUAGCGUGACAUUACCUCCCCGUCUUCUCGGCUCCCCGCUGCAUUUCAGCCCCCACAGGACAGCUGUGCCUUUCUCACCCGCUCAACAGAGUAGACAUUCAGGUAAUUGCUGGAUGAAUGGACAGACAGCAGAAGGAUUCACAGACACAGACAAGGCAGGCCUACAGCUCUCGCUGCUCCCAGCCCGACUGCAGACCUGGUCUCCCUUUCUCAGCCAUACCGCCUGUCCCACAGCAGAGCUCCAGCUAAGUGCCAGCCAUGCGUGGGUCUGGGAGAUGUCAGCCCAUGAAGAGGCAAGACUCCCUUCCCAUUGGAGUUUACUUCUAGUGUUGAAGAUUGGAAUCAAGACACGUUGCAAGAAGACACUCUGGAAGCCCAGAGCACUUCCUGUGAGAUGCCUGGGGCACCGGUGCCCUUGUCCUCCUGCUACAAGGGGUCACCUCAGCCAGCCUUUCACUUUCCUCCACCCAUCAGUGCCACUCCAGCCUGCCUCUCCAGAAGCUUUGGUGCAGGGAUCACGAGGCUAAGGGGCGAACUUGUGAGUUAACCACAGAGACGGCUGCCUCGUUCCCAUGGAGAAACCAGGUCCCAGCCCUAGGCCUUCCAUGACAACCGUGGACUCAUCCCUCCCUUGUGGAGAGCUCACAUUUCCUGUAAACACACCUGACAGGGGCAACUGGUCUCUAGCAACAAAGAGGUGGGCAGUGCUGGGGAGAUUUUUUUGGAAAGACCAGAGGUCAGUAAAUGGGUUUGUGGGCCAAAUCUGGCCUGCCAGCUAAGAAUGGU